UCGCGGCCUAUCAGCUUGUUGGUGAGGUAAUGGCUCACCAAGGCGUCGACGGGUAGCCGGCCUGAGAGGGUGACCGGCCACACUGGGACUGAGACACGGCCCAGACUCCUACGGGAGGCAGCGGUGGGGAAUAUUGCACAAUGGGCGCAAGCCUGAUGCAGCAACGCCGCGUGAGGGAUGACGGCCUUCGGGUUGUAAACCUCUUUUAGUAGGGAAGAAGCGAAAGUGACGGUACCUGCAGAAAAAGCGCCGGCUAACUACGUGCCAGCAGCCGCGGUAAUACGUAGGGCGCAAGCGUUAUCCGGAAUUAUUGGGCGUAAAGAGCUCGUAGGCGGUUUGUCGCGUCUGCUGUGAAAUCUGGGGGCUCAACCCCCAGCCUGCAGUGGGUACGGGCAGACUAGAGUGCGGUAGGGGAGACUGGAAUUCCUGGUGUAGCGGUGGAAUGCGCAGAUAUCAGGAGGAACACCGAUGGCGAAGGCAGAUCUCUGGGCCGUAACUGACGCUGAGGAGCGAAAGGGUGGGGAGCAAACAGGCUUAGAUACCCUGGUAGUCCACCCCGUAAACGUUGGGAACUAGUUGUGGGGUCCAUUCCACGGAUUCCGUGACGCAGCUAACGCAUUAAGUUCCCCGCCUGGGGAGUACGGCCGCAAGGCUAAAACUCAAAGGAAUUGACGGGGACCCGCACAAGCGGCGGAGCAUGCGGAUUAAUUCGAUGCAACGCGAAGAACCUUACCAAGGCUUGACAUAUACGAGAACGGGCCAGAAAUGGUCAACUCUUUGGACACUCGUAAACAGGUGGUGCAUGGUUGUCGUCAGCUCGUGUCGUGAGAUGUUGGGUUAAGUCCCGCAACGAGCGCAACCCUCGUUCUAUGUUGCCAGCACGUAAUGGUGGGAACUCAUGGGAUACUGCCGGGGCAACUCGGAGGAAGGUGGGGAUGACGUCAAAUCAUCAUGCCCCUUAUGUCUUGGGCUUCACGCAUGCUACAAUGGCCGGUACAAAGGGCUGCAAUACCGCGAGGUGGAGCGAAUCCCAAAAAGCCGGUCCCAGUUCGGAUUGAGGUCUGCAACUCGACCUCAUGAAGUCGGAGUCGCUAGUAAUCGCAGAUCAGCAACGCUGCGGUGAAUACGUUCCCGGGUCUUGUACACACCGCCCGUCAAGUCAUGAAAGUCGGUAACACCUGAAGCCGGUGGCCUAACCCUUGUGGAGGGAGCCGUCGAAGGUGGGGCUGGA
RNAcentral lists this ribosomal RNA (1231 nucleotides) under uncultured Actinomycetes bacterium. Its description in RNAcentral is "bacterial SSU rRNA". It matches the Rfam family "Bacterial small subunit ribosomal RNA", at positions 231 to 1472 of the family's 1533-position model. The record is from RNAcentral. Lineage: Bacteria; Bacillati; Actinomycetota; Actinomycetes.